GGUCGGAGCCUAAUCUUGUAGAGUUAGAUGUUCGGUUUGCUUUUUGUGGAGGAACUGAUUUUACUGAGGAUCAUACGCUAGUUUGACUAGUUUGUUUGGAUUUUUGAUGGACUAGUGUUGCACAAAUUUGUUUACAGGAGCGGGAUGAGCGUUGUAUAUUCUAUUCAAAUCACUCUGGCUCUUGCAAUUUCAGAAUGCGGGCAUUUAGAUAGACCGUGGAGUUAGGCCCGUUUUUUCCUUCUGUCCUAGUGGCUUACCUACUGUUGGAGAAGAAUCUAGGAAACUUUGUGUUUG
This 294-nucleotide long non-coding RNA is filed under the name Eucalyptus grandis. Its description in RNAcentral is "long non-coding RNA (EGRA_LNC004078)". Lineage: Eukaryota; Viridiplantae; Streptophyta; Magnoliopsida; Myrtales; Myrtaceae. The record is from RNAcentral.